RNAcentral lists this ribosomal RNA (1404 nucleotides) under Triticum aestivum (bread wheat). Its description in RNAcentral is "partial small subunit ribosomal RNA". Lineage: Eukaryota; Viridiplantae; Streptophyta; Magnoliopsida; Poales; Poaceae. The record is from RNAcentral.
AUGUCGUCGUCGUCGUCGGCGGCGGAACAGCAUGGCCACCAUGCCGUAGGCGGCCGCGAGCUAGUGCCGCUCGCGGCUCUCAUAAAGGAGGAGUCCCGCACCGAGCGGCACGCCGUCACUCGGAGCAGGAUCUGCGCGCGUGAGGAUGGAGGAGUAGGAGGGGAAGUUGGGGAGGCGGAGACGCGGCGGCCACUGCUACGGUAUGGGUGCGCCGCGCAGUCCAAGAAGGGGGAGGACUUCUUCCUACUCAGGACCGACUGCGCGCGCCCCUCUACUUCCUCGUCCUCUUCGACCACCUCGCAUCCCCCCACCUUCGCGGUUUUCGCCGUUCUUGACGGGCAUAACGGCGAUGCCGCUGCAAUAUAUACAAGGGACAAUCUGCUCAACCAUGUCCUGAGCGCGAUGCCACAGGGUCUUUCGCGGGAGGAGUGGUUGCAUUCUCUGCCCCGUGCGCUUGUCGCGGGAUUCGUCAAGACCGACAAGGAAUUCCAAACCAAAGGCCAAACUUCGGGCACAACUGCCACAUUUGCGAUAAUCGAUGGCUGGACUAUCACUGUUGCUUCAGUUGGCGAUUCUCGCUGUAUUUUGGAUGCUCAGGGUGGGGCUGUUUCUUUGCUUACAGUUGAUCACCGACUAGAAGAAAAUGUCGAGGAGAGGGAGCGUGUCACAGCGAGUGGAGGUGAAGUUGGAAGGCUUAGUGUGGUUGGUGGAGCAGAGAUUGGUCCACUGCGAUGCUGGCCAGGAGGUUUGUGCCUAUCCAGAUCCAUUGGAGACAUAGAUGUUGGUGAAUUUAUCGUACCUGUUCCUUAUGUCAAGCAAGUGAAGUUGUCAAAUACUGGUGGGAGGCUUAUUAUUGCUUCAGACGGCAUUUGGGAUGCAUUGUCUUCAGAUGCAGCUGCAAAGUGUUGCAGAGGGUUGCCUGCUGAACUCGCUGCCAAGCAAGUAGUUAAGGAGGCACUCAAGACAAGGGGCCUAAAAGAUGACACGACAUGUGUCGUUGUUGACAUAAUCCCACCUGAUCAAACGAUACGCCCUCUAUCUCCACCGAAAAAGAUGAAUAAGUUGAAGUCCCUGAUUUUUAGGAAAAAAGCAAAGGACCAGCCCAAUAAAUUGACUAAGCAGCUUUCUUCAGUGGGUAUGGUUGAAGAGAUAUUUGAAGAAGGUUCAGCGAUACUAUCAGAGAGGUUGGGUAAUGACUCAGGUAGUCGGAGAACAUCGUCAAGCUUGUUUACAUGUGCCAUCUGCCAGGCAGAUCUUGAACCAAGUGAAGGUACAUCAGUUCAUGUAGGUUCAGUAUUCUCUUCGAGCUCUAAGCCAUGGGAAGGCCCUUUCCUUUGUUCUGAUUGCCGCGACAAGAAGGAUGCCAUGGAAGGUAAACGACCGAGUGGCGUGAAAGUUCUGUGA